RNAcentral lists this ribosomal RNA (465 nucleotides) under Vreelandella stevensii. RNAcentral describes it as "partial 16S ribosomal RNA". It matches the Rfam family "Bacterial small subunit ribosomal RNA", at positions 338 to 795 of the family's 1533-position model. The record is from RNAcentral. Lineage: Bacteria; Pseudomonadati; Pseudomonadota; Gammaproteobacteria; Oceanospirillales; Halomonadaceae.
CCUACGGGAGGCUGCAGUGGGGAAUAUUGGACAAUGGGGGCAACCCUGAUCCAGCCAUGCCGCGUGUGUGAAGAAGGCCCUCGGGUUGUAAAGCACUUUCAGUGAGGAAGAACGCCUGGUGGUUAAUACCCAUCAGGAAAGACAUCACUCACAGAAGAAGCACCGGCUAACUCCGUGCCAGCAGCCGCGGUAAUACGGAGGUUGCGAGCGUUAAUCGGAAUUACUGGGCGUAAAGCGCGCGUAGGUGGCUUGAUAAGCAGGUUGUGAAAGCCCCGGGCUCAACCUGGGAACGGCAUCCGGAACUGUCAAGCUAGAGUGCAGGAGAGGAAGGUAGAAUUCCCGGUGUAGCGGUGAAAUGCGUAGAGAUCGGGAGGAAUACCAGUGGCGAAGGCGGCCUUCUGGACUGACACUGACACUGAGGUGCGAAAGCGUGGGUAGCAAACAGGAUUAGAUACCCCUGUAGUC